ACACCGAGGAAAACAUGUGUAUUGGGUGAUGUGUGUAUCGUUUGCGGGUUUUCCUUUCUUGUGUUAGAAAAAUCAGCCGACGGAAAGGAAAAUUUACAUAAAUAUUAUGAAAACAAGCUCAAAUUAAACACAGAAAGAAUCCAAUGCAUACGAAAAGUGACCCAAGUAAGUGUAGAACUUGAAGGUGCAAGUAAAUAUAAUGCAGGUGUGUGUCGGAAGUGUUUUCGAAAAGUUGAACCUGUUAUAAAAGCAGAGGAGAAAAACAAUGUUACUAAACAGAAACUUAAAGAAGGUGUCGAGUCUGUGUAUCGAACGCAGGUGAUGCAACUGCCUUCCCCUCGGCGAAUAAACAUAACGAAGCGGAUGUUGAGCAGCCCUGGUGCAAGUAAACCUGAGAAUAGACCUACGAAGAUGCAUGUACUCGCUAGUGUGACAUACGUUUCACCUGUCAAAAUAUCGCCUUUCAAGGAAAUAACUGGUGAGAGGCAAAUUGAGAGACAACGUCUUCAGAGGCAACAGGUCACAGCUAUGGAGUCAUUGGAGUGCAUAUCUGGUUUUAUUUGUUUGUUGAGACUUGACAAAUAUCAACAAAGAAAAGUUCCUGGACAAAACUGAUGUUUCAGUGUACUAUCCAAGUGGAAAGAAGACUACUCUUAUACAGAAUGAGACCCAUCAGAAAAUCUGCAAGGCAUUGAUCCGUGGUACAAACAUUGAUAAUACCAUUGUGGACACCCUGUGUUCGUCUAAUCCAAUGUGCAUUAUAACUGGAGCAGCAAAGAUUGUUAAAUCGGAGAGUGUGAACAUCUGGAAGCGCGGAUCUGGAUGUUCAUAACAGAAGAAAGGCUAUGGGGACUUUUUCAACUUCAGUUAGGAUCACAUUCAUGAAUACCUCCAGGAGCAUUGUCCUGCUCUUCUGUCUAUUAUCACUGCUACGGUUUGUGACUUGACACCUAGUGUUUCUAGUAAACCAUUCCAACGUAUAA
This is a long non-coding RNA of Saccostrea cuccullata (small rock oyster), 983 nucleotides long. RefSeq lists it as uncharacterized. Lineage: Eukaryota; Metazoa; Mollusca; Bivalvia; Ostreida; Ostreidae. The record is from RefSeq and is a predicted model, not a curated record. The transcript has 4 exons.